This is a long non-coding RNA of Oncorhynchus keta (chum salmon), 2890 nucleotides long. RefSeq lists it as uncharacterized. The record is from RefSeq and is a predicted model, not a curated record. Lineage: Eukaryota; Metazoa; Chordata; Actinopteri; Salmoniformes; Salmonidae. The transcript is spliced from 5 exons.
AACACAGUAACUGUAACCAAGGGGAGGUUGAAACCAAGCUAAAACACAGUAACUGUAGCCAAGGGCAGGUUGAAACCAAGCUAAAACACAGUAACUGUAGCCAAGGGCAGGUUGAAACCAAGCUAAAACACAGUAACUGUAGCCAAGGGCAGGUUGAAACCAAGCUAAAACACAGUAACUGUAGCCAAGGGCAGGUUGAAACCAAGCUAAAACACAGUAACUGUAGCCAAGGGCAGGUUGAAACCAAGCUAAAACACAGUAACUGUAGCCAAGGGCAGGUUGAAACCAAGCUAAAACACAGUAACUGUAGCCAAGGGCAGGUUGAAACCAAGCUAAAACACAGUAACUGUAGCCAAGGGCAGGUUGAAACCAAGCUAAAACACAGUAACUGUAGCCAAGGGCAGGUUGAAACCAAGCUAAAACACAGUAACUGUAGCCAAGGGCAGGUUGAAACCAAGCUAAAACACAGUAACUGUAGCCAAGGGCAGGUUGAAACCAAGCUAAAACACAGUAACUGUAGCCAAGGGCAGGUUGAAACCAAGCUAAAACACAGUAACUGUAGCCAAGGGCAGGUUGAAACCAAGCUAAAACACAGUAACUGCAGCCAAGGGCAGGUUGAAACCAAGCUAAAACACAGUAACUGUAGCCAAGGGCAGGUUGAAACCAAGCUAAAACACAGUAACUGCAGCCAAGGGCAGGUUGAAACCAAGCUAAAACACAGUAACUGUAGCCAAGGGCAGGUUGAAACCAAGCUAAAAGACAGUAAGUUCAGUUACUUUACCGUGGAUUCACAGUAACUUGUUGCAGUUACUGCUAAAACGACCCCCAUUUUCUCCUGAACUCAAUACACUAGAAGCAGGAUACUUGUCCACGUGAUUAAGCAUGUAUGUAAAUGCAACAAAAAUGACAUUAACUCAUUUUUGACGAAAUUAGCAAUUACUGUCUUUGUGCUUGGGAGGGCAUUUCUGAUGUCCAGAAUAUUAUUCGCGGUCACAGGAAAUGAUGGCGGAGACAUAAUGUACAAACAAAGUUAAGAUCAGCGUGGAAAAAAAAUCUCUUCAAUGAUCUCUUCAUUAAAAAAUGUUUGUCUCUUAAUUUCAAUUAUUGAUAUAUACCGAUUGAUUUCCAACCCUAUCCCACAGCUACCAAAACAAGAUACAGGGCUGAUAUAGAGACAUGGCUCACACAGACAAAAGAGAUAGAGAGGGGUGUGAGAUAGAGAUGGAGAGGUAGAGACAAAGAGAGAAAGGAGAGGGUGGGGGGUGAGAGAGAGAUAAAUAGAGUAAGAGGGGGUGAGAGGGAGAGAGAGAGAGAGGGGUGAGAGAGAGAUGGAGAGGUAGAGACAGAGAGAGAGAGGGAGGGGUGAGAUAGAGAUGGAGAGGUAGAGACAGAGAGAGAGGGGUGAGAUAGAGAUGGAGAGGUAGAGACAAAGAGAGAAAGGAGAGGGUGGGGGGUGAGAGAGAUAGAGUAAGAGGGGGUGAGAGGGAGAGAGAGAGAGAGUGAGAGGGGGUGAGAGAGAUGGAGAGGUAGAGACAGAGAGAGAGAGGGAGGGGUGAGAGAGAGAUGGAGAGGUAGAGACAGAGAGAGAGAGAGGGAGGGGUGAGAGAGAGAUGGAGAGGUAGAGACAGAGAGGGGUGAGAGAUGGAGAGGUAGAGACAAAGAGAGAGAGAGGGAGGGGUGAGAGAGAGAUGGAGAGGUAGAGACAGAGAGGGGUGAGAGAUGGAGAGGUAGAGACAAAGAGAGAGAGAGGGAGGGGUGAGAGAGAGAUGGAGAGGUAGAGACAGAGAGGGGUGAGAGAUGGAGAGGUAGAGACAAAGAGAGAGAGAGGGAGGGGUGAGAGAGAGAUGGAGAGGUAGAGACAGAGAGGGGUGAGAGAUGGAGAGGUAGAGACAAAGAGAGAGAGAGGGAGGGGUGAGAGAGAGAUGGAGAGGUAGAGACAGAGAGGGGUGAGAGAUGGAGAGGUAGAGACAAAGAGAGAGAGAGGGAGGGGUGAGAGAGAGAUGGAGAGGUAGAGACAGAGAGGGGUGAGAGAUGGAGAGGUAGAGACAAAGAGAGAGAGAGGGGGGUGAGAGAGAGAUGGAGAGGUAGAGACAAAGAGAGAGAGAGAGGGUGAGAGGGAGAGAGAGAGAGAGCGAGGUGAGGAAGAAGGAGAAGGAGAGAGCCUGUCUCUGUAUCGUUAGGUGCUUAUCACUCCUCAGUUUCUUCUGGUCUCAGUUUGGCUCAUGGUGUUGUUGGUGGGCUCGGCACUCUACUGUGUAAAUCUGUAAGGAACAACAGUGUAAAUCUGUAAAGAACAACAGUGUAAAUCUGUAAGGAACAACAGUGUAAAUCUGUAAAGAACAACAGUGUAAAUCUGUAAAGAACAACAGUGUAAAUCUGUAAAGAACAACAGUGUAAAUCUGUAAAGAACAACAGUGUAAAUCUGUAAAGAACAACAGUGUAAAUCUGUAAGGAACAACAGUGUAAAUCUGUAAGGAACAACAGUGUAAAUCUGUAAGGAACAACAGUGUAAAUCUGUAAAGAACAACAGUGUAAAUCUGUAAGGAACAACAGUGUAAAUCUGUAAAGAACAACAGUGUAAAUCUGUAAAGAACAACAGUGUAAAUCUGUAAAGAACAACAGUGUAAAUCUGUAAAGAACAACAGUGUAAAUCUGUAAAGAACAACAGUGUAAAUCUGUAAAGAACAACAGUGUAAAUCUGUAAGGAACAACAGUGUAAAUCUGUAAAGAACAACAGUGUAAAUCUGUAAAGAACAACAGUGUAAAUCUGUAAAGAACAACAGUGUAAAUCUGUAAAGAACAACAGUGUAAAUCUGUAAAGAACAACAGUGUAAAUCUGUAAGGAACAACAGUGUAAAUCUGUAAAGAACAACAGUGUAAAUCUGUAAAG